AUUGAACGCUGGCGGCAGGCCUAACACAUGCAAGUCGAGCGGAUGAAGGGAGCUUGCUCCUGGAUUCAGCGGCGGACGGGUGAGGAAUGCCUAGGAAUCUGCCUGGUCGUGGGGGAUAACGUCCGGAAACGGGCGCUAAUACCGCAUACGUCCUGAGGGAGAAAGUGGGGGAUCUUCGGACCUCACGCUAUCAGAUGAGCCUAGGUCGGAUUAGCUAGUUGGUGGGGUAAAGGCCUACCACGGCGACGAUCCGUAACUGGUCUGAUAGGAUGAUCAGUCACACUGGAACUGAGACACGGUCCAGACUCCUACGGGAGGCAGCAGUGGGGAAUAUUGGACAAUUGGCGAAAGCCUGAUCCAGCCAUGCCGCGUGUGUGAAGAAGGUCUUCGGAUUUUAAAGCACUUUAAGUUGGGAGGAAGGGCAGUAAGUUAAUACCUUGCUGUUUUGACGUUACCAACAGAAUAAGCACCGGCUAACUUCGUG
RNAcentral lists this ribosomal RNA (484 nucleotides) under uncultured bacterium. Its description in RNAcentral is "partial 16S ribosomal RNA". It matches the Rfam family "Bacterial small subunit ribosomal RNA", at positions 30 to 507 of the family's 1533-position model. The record is from RNAcentral.